This is a long non-coding RNA of Chelonia mydas (Green sea turtle), 561 nucleotides long. RefSeq lists it as uncharacterized. The record is from RefSeq and is a predicted model, not a curated record. Lineage: Eukaryota; Metazoa; Chordata; Testudines; Cheloniidae. The transcript has 3 exons.
GUGUAAAUCCCCACAAGGGAGAGGAGAGAGGUUCCAGCUGAACAGGGAUCCUGUCCGAAACCUGAGCUCUGUGUGAAGCAGGACCAGCAAGAUGCUGUAUCAAACCAGGGAAGAACAGAAAAGCUGGGAUGGAGCACAGGAAAUGAACAGGGAAUCUGAGGAAUGGAUUAUAUAAACUCGAGUAAGGAAACUGCCAAUGAACAGACCCUGGAGAAGGAGAAGAGGACUCCCAGGAAGAAUACAGACACCUGAGCUCCUAUUUCAAAGGUCCGGUCCUUCAAGGAGUUCUCCAGCCAAACUAGGGGAGGCCACGCUUUCUAUUCCUGAUCAUUCAAAGGUGAAAAGAAGGGGAAUUUAGAUAAGAAAUAACAAAACCUAAUUUUCAGAACUUCUUUAACAACAUAAAAAAAAGUGAAGCAGCGUUACAAACCCAUCCCACCCCACAUGAACGCAUGGCCUUUCAAAAUCUUUUCCCUAAGGAAAAAUAAUUGACUGUAUUAAAGGGGAAAUGACACUUGACUAACUGAAUAGUUGGUGGGUGGCAUUAUCUGGAUUCUAAUU